RNAcentral lists this ribosomal RNA (337 nucleotides) under uncultured Anaerolineaceae bacterium. Its description in RNAcentral is "bacterial SSU rRNA". It matches the Rfam family "Bacterial small subunit ribosomal RNA", at positions 1033 to 1382 of the family's 1533-position model. The record is from RNAcentral. Lineage: Bacteria; Bacillati; Chloroflexota; Anaerolineae; Anaerolineales; Anaerolineaceae.
GACAGGUGCUGCAUGGCUGUCGUCAGCUCGUGUCGUGAGAUGUUCGGUUAAGUCCGCUAACCGAGCGCAACCCUCGCUGUGUGUUACAAGUGUCACACGGAACUGCCGGUCAUAAACCGGAGGAAGGUGGGAUGACGUCAAGUCAGCAUGGCCUUUAUAUCCUGGGCUACACACACGCUACAAUGGGAAGGGACAAUAGGUUGCGAAGCCGCGAGGCGGAGCCAAUCCAGCAAAACUUCCCUCAGUUCAGAUUGCAGGCUGCGACUCGCCUGCAUGAAGUUGGAGUUGCUAGUAAACGCAGGUCAGCCAUACUGCGUUGAAUACGUUCCCGGGGCUU